UAUGUCCUAGCUGUCUAAAGCUUAACUUC
Molecule: non-coding RNA, 29 nt
Filed under: Homo sapiens (human)
Lineage: Eukaryota; Metazoa; Chordata; Mammalia; Primates; Hominidae
Source: RNAcentral